Molecule: unclassified non-coding RNA, 253 nt
Filed under: uncultured cyanobacterium
Lineage: Bacteria; Bacillati; Cyanobacteriota
Description: contains 16S-23S intergenic spacer region
Rfam family: Bacterial small subunit ribosomal RNA
Source: RNAcentral
GACGGAGGGUGCAAGCGUUGUUCGGAAUUACUGGGCGUAAAGCGUACGUAGGCGGCGGGUUAAGUCGAAUGUUAAAGCCUGGAGCUCAACUCCAGAGAUGCAUUCGAUACUGGCCUGCUAGAGGGUGAUAGAGGAAAGCGGAAUUCCCAGUGUAGCGGUGAAACGCGUAGAUAUUGGGAGGAACAUCAGUAGCGAAGGCGGCUUUCUGGGUCACACCUGACGCUGAGGUACGAAAGCGUGGGGAGCAAACGGG